CCCCACAGCGCCAUUCCGCCCCACACCCCCCUCCCAUCCCCCCCCCGUUCUGCUCAGCGCUGUUGGCCGCCGCCCCACCGCCGCUCCGCUCCAACUCGGCCAAAGGUUCCUCCGCUCCCCCCCCGCCCCCGGGAGAGGCGGCUGUAGGGCCGUCUAUGGGGCGGCGGCGGGGUGCCGAUCCCAAAGCGGAACCUUAUGGGGGCGACGCCACCGCGCUGCGCUCCAUUUUAGGUCUGCGGUGGGGCUGAGGGGGAACGGCCCCAUAGAGCCGCUGUGUGGCCGUGUGGGGCUGUGGGGUCUGCGCGGGGCUAUGGGGCCCAUGUGGGGCUAUGGGAUCCCAGGGUCCACUCAGCGUUAUGGGGUCCCAUGUUCCAUGUGGGGCUGUGGGGUCUGUGUAGGGCUAUGGGGUCUGUGCAGGGCUAUGGGGUCUGUGUAGGGCUAUGGGAUCCCAGGGUCCACUCUGGGUUAUGGGAUCCCAUGUUCCGUGUGGGGCUAUGGGGUCUGUGUAGGGCUAUGGGGUUUGUGUAGGGCUAUGGGGCCCAUGUGGGGCUAUGGGGUCUGUGUAGGCUAUGGGGUCUGUGUAGGGCUAUGGGGUCUGUGCAGGGCUAUGGGAUCCCAGGGUCCACUCAGGGUUGUGGGAUCUCAUGUUCCAUGUGGGGCUGUGGGGUCUGUGUAGGCUAUGGGGUCUGUGUAGGCUAUGGGGUCUGUGUAGGGCUAUGGGGCCCAUGUGGGGCUAUGGGAUCCCAGGGUCCACUCAGGGUUAUGGGGUCCCAUGUUCCAUGUGGGGCUGUGGGGUCUGUGUAGGGCUAUGGGGUCUGUGUAGGCUAUGGGGUCUGUGUAGGGCUAUGGGGCCCAUGUGGGGCUAUGGGAUCCCAGGGUCCACUCAGGGUUAUGGGGUCCCAUGUUCCACGUGGGGCUGUGGGGUCUGUGUAGGGCUAUGGGGUCUGUGUAGGCUAUGGGGUCUGUGUAGGGUAUGGGGUCUGUGUAGGGCUAUGGGAUCCCAGGGUCCACUCAGGGUUAUGGGGUCCCAUGUUCCAUGUGGGGCUGUGGGGUCUGUGCAGGGCUAUGGGGCCCAUGUGGGGCUAUGGGAUCCGAGUGUCCGUGCAGGGUUAUGGGGUCCAUGUGGGGCUAUGGGGUCUGUGUAGGGCUGUGGGGUGCAUGUGUGGCUAUGGGGUCUGUGUAGGGCUAUGGGGUCCGUGUGUGGUUAUGGGAUCCCCGAGUCCAUGCAGGGUUAUGGAAACCCAUGUUCCAUAUGGGGCUGUGGGGUCUGUGCAGGGCUAUGGGGUCUGUUUGAGGUUAUGGGAUCCUGGGGUCCAUGUGGGGCUACGGGGUCUGUAUGGGGCUAUGGGGUCUGCAUGGGGCUAUGGGGUCUGUAUGGGGCUAUGGGGUCUGCAUGGAGCUAUGGGGUCCAUGUGGGUCUAUGGGGUCUGUAUGGGACUAUGGGGUCUGCAUGGAGCUAUGGGGUCCAUGCGGGUCUAUGGGGUCUGUAUGGGGCUAUGGGGUCUGCAUGGGACUAUGGGGUCUGUAUGAGGCUAUGGAGUCCAUGCGGGGCUAUGGGGUCUAUAUGGGACUAUGGGGUCUGCAUGGGGCUAUGGAGUCCAUGCGGGGCUAUGGGGUCUAUAUGGGACUAUGGGGUCUGCAUGGGGCUAUGGGGUCGCUGUGUGGUUCCCCCCCUCUCCCUCAUGGGGCCGACCAUACGGGGCUGCUGCUCACUGUGGGGUGCAGAGCUGCAGGGACCGCUUCAGCGCCGACCCGGUGGGACCCCCUUUGUUUCUUAUAGGGUCUCACAGAGCGCUCUGUUUGUUGUUGUGGGGUCUCCGCUCUGUUUGUUGUGGGGUCUCCGCUCUGUUAUGGGGUCUCCGCUCUGUUAUGGGGUCUCCGCUCUGUUGUGGGGUCUCCGCUCUGUUUGUUGUGGGGUCUCCGCUCUGUUAUGGGGUCUCCACUCUGUUAUGGGGUCUCCGCUCUGUUAUGGGGUCUCCGCUCUGUUAUGGGGUUUCCAGGGCGGCAGUGUUUACCGCUCACCCUUCCCCUGCUGGGCUCACUGCCCUCAGCGGCACGUGGGGAAACGGAGGCGCUGCCGGGGGGGGCACAGCGCUCCCCCCCCCCAAACCCCCCCCGGCUGUAGGGCCGCCAAGUGGGGGAUGGGUGAUGGCCGCGAUCCUAUGGGGCGGGCUCAGCGCGGCGCUUCCCUUUGCCCCACAUACCCAAAUGGGGCCCUGAGGGCAGCGCAGCGUCCACUGCCCCCCCCCGCCCCCCAACUGCUCCC
RNAcentral lists this long non-coding RNA (2266 nucleotides) under Gallus gallus (chicken). Its description in RNAcentral is "lncRNA (ENSGALG00010028822.1)". Lineage: Eukaryota; Metazoa; Chordata; Aves; Galliformes; Phasianidae. The record is from RNAcentral.